GCUGAUUAAGAGGUCGACAUGGAGGCUAUGAAAACGGAAUUGCCACUACCUGCGAGUAGCAAAUUUAUCCAGCUCAUAUAGGCGUCUACACUUCAGCAUAGCAGUGAGACAAGUUCUGAUUUAUUUGAUGGAUCUCGACAACAUAUGUUUUGGAAGUCGGUUGGGCAAUGAUGGGCGGCGACAGGCCAACAGUCGGGGAGCGACGCAAAAAUUGUAAUGACAGACAUGAUGUGAUAAUGGAUGUUUUCUUCACUAAUAUGUGUAGGCAAAGAGAAAGAAAGAC
Molecule: long non-coding RNA, 283 nt
Organism: Pomacea canaliculata
Lineage: Eukaryota; Metazoa; Mollusca; Gastropoda; Architaenioglossa; Ampullariidae
Exons: 3
Source: RefSeq, a predicted model, not a curated record